AGUUUGAUCCUGGCUCAGAUUGAACGCUGGCGGAAUGCUUUACACAUGCAAGUCGAACGGCAGCACGGGGGCAACCCUGGUGGCGAGUGGCGAACGGGUGAGUAAUACAUCGGAACGUGCCCAAUCGUGGGGGAUAACGUAGCGAAAGCUACGCUAAUACCGCAUACGAUCUACGGAUGAAAGCGGGGGAUCGCAAGACCUCGCGCGAUUGGAGCGGCCGAUGGCAGAUUAGGUAGUUGGUGGGGUAAAGGCUCACCAAGCCUUCGAUCUGUAGCUGGUCUGAGAGGACGACCAGCCACACUGGGACUGAGACACGGCCCAGACUCCUACGGGAGGCAGCAGUGGGGAAUUUUGGACAAUGGGCGAAAGCCUGAUCCAGCCAUUCCGCGUGCAGGAUGAAGGCCCUCGGGUUGUAAACUGCUUUUGUACGGAACGAAACGGCCUUUUCUAAUACAGAGGGCUAAUGACGGUACCGUAAGAAUAAGCACCGGCUAACUACGUG
RNAcentral lists this ribosomal RNA (502 nucleotides) under uncultured bacterium. RNAcentral describes it as "bacterial SSU rRNA". It matches the Rfam family "Bacterial small subunit ribosomal RNA", at positions 10 to 507 of the family's 1533-position model. The record is from RNAcentral.